UGAGGGAAUAUUUGGGGUCAAUGGACGAGAGUCUGAACCAGCCAAGUAGCGUGCAGGACGACGGCCCUAUGGGUUGUAAACUGCUUUUGUACGGGGAUAAAGUGAGCCACGUGUGGUUUAUUGCAGGUACCGUACGAAUAAGGACCGGCUAAUUCCGUGCCAGCAGCCGCGGUAAUACGGAAGGUCCGGGCGCUAUCCGGAUUCAUUGGGUUUAAAGGGAGCGUAGGCCGCCCCCUAAGCGUGUUGUGAAAUGCCGCGGCUCAACCGUGGCACUGCAGCGCGAACUGGGGGGCUUGAGUACGCACAAAGUGGGCGGAAUUCGUGGUGUAGCGGUGAAAUGCUUAGAUAUCACGAAGAACUCCGAUUGCGAAGGCAGCUCACUGGAGCGCAACUGACGCUGAAGCUCGAAAGUGCGGGGUAUCGAACA
Molecule: ribosomal RNA, 427 nt
Filed under: uncultured Prevotella sp.
Lineage: Bacteria; Pseudomonadati; Bacteroidota; Bacteroidia; Bacteroidales; Prevotellaceae
Description: bacterial SSU rRNA
Rfam family: Bacterial small subunit ribosomal RNA
Source: RNAcentral